RNAcentral lists this non-coding RNA (240 nucleotides) under Felis catus (domestic cat). RNAcentral's name for it is "Archaeal small subunit ribosomal RNA". It matches the Rfam family "Eukaryotic small subunit ribosomal RNA", at positions 1415 to 1658 of the family's 1831-position model. The record is from Rfam by way of RNAcentral. Lineage: Eukaryota; Metazoa; Chordata; Mammalia; Carnivora; Felidae.
GGGCAUAAAGAGGUAUGAGAUUUUGUUAUAUUAAAAAGUAUGUCUGUGAUGCCCUUAGAUGUUGGGGGCUACACAAGUACUACACUGCCUGGCUCAGCAUGUGCCUACCCUACACCGGCAGGUGCAGGUAACCCGUUGAACCCCACUCAUGAUGGGGAUCAGGGAUUGCAAUUAUUCCCCAUGAACAAGGAAUUCCCAGUAAGCGCAGGUCAUAAACUUGUGUUGAUUAAGCCCCUGCCC